This 560-nucleotide ribosomal RNA is filed under the name Halobacillus sp. 3-8. RNAcentral's name for it is "bacterial SSU rRNA". It matches the Rfam family "Bacterial small subunit ribosomal RNA", at positions 53 to 578 of the family's 1533-position model. The record is from RNAcentral. Lineage: Bacteria; Bacillati; Bacillota; Bacilli; Caryophanales; Bacillaceae.
ACAUGCAAGUCGAGCGCGGGAAGCGAGCUGAUCCCCUUCGGGGGUGACGCUCGUGGAACGAGCGGCGGACGGGUGAGUAACACGUGGGUAACCUGCCUGUAAGAUCGGAAUAACUCCGGGAAACCGGAGCUAAUGCCGGGUAAUACUUUCUUUCGCAUGAAGGAAAGUUGAAAGAUGGCUUCUUGCUAUCACUUACAGAUGGACCCGCGGCGCAUUAGCUAGUUGGUGAGGUAACGGCUCACCAAGGCGACGAUGCGUAGCCGACCUGAGAGGGUGAUCGGCCACACUGGGACUGAGACACGGCCCAGACUCCUACGGGAGGCAGCAGUAGGGAAUCUUCCGCAAUGGACGAAAGUCUGACGGAGCAACGCCGCGUGAACGAUGAAGGUCUUCGGAUCGUAAAGUUCUGUUGUUAGGGAAGAACAAGUACCGUUCGAACAGGGCGGUACCUUGACGGUACCUAACGAGGAAGCCCCGGCUAACUACGUGCCAGCAGCCGCGGUAAUACGUAGGGGGCAAGCGUUGUCCGGAAUUAUUGGGCGUAAAGCGCUCGCAGGCGG